AGAACUAUCUACAAACGGCAUGGGACACAAGGGUUGCCGACAACAGACGCCAACCUUUACAGCAGGUGUUUCACGAUAACAUCCCGGGAGAUAUCGUUUUAUACGUUGAGGCAGACGACAAGUUCUGCUUAUCUAUCGGUACGAGACAGCUGACGCGAGCCCGUCUCUUCUAAUCGUACCGUAUGGAUAAAAUAUCUACCGGUACUUCACGACACGUUCCGGGAGACAUCGGGAGAAUCUCCGGGUUCAUCUUUGAGGAGAUCUGCGGUGCUCAAAACAGCAGACAGACGACUAGGCCUUUAUAUCAGGCAUUAGACAAGGAACUCUGACAGCAGAAGUCGUGACUGCAGAAUCAGUGAACAGUUCUGAAACACGGUUGGACCUGUGCUGGGGAGGAAGGAGGAUUACUGUGUGUGACAGGAGGGUGACACGACAGGCAGCAAAGCCUAAAUCACCUAGGAAUCCUGCAAAGCAGC
Branchiostoma floridae (Florida lancelet) is the source of this 476-nucleotide long non-coding RNA. RefSeq lists it as uncharacterized. The record is from RefSeq and is a predicted model, not a curated record. The transcript is spliced from 3 exons. NCBI's taxonomy places the organism in Eukaryota, Metazoa, Chordata, Leptocardii, Amphioxiformes, Branchiostomatidae.